This is a long non-coding RNA of Brassica napus (rape), 1307 nucleotides long. RefSeq lists it as uncharacterized. NCBI's taxonomy places the organism in Eukaryota, Viridiplantae, Streptophyta, Magnoliopsida, Brassicales, Brassicaceae. The record is from RefSeq and is a predicted model, not a curated record. The transcript has 6 exons.
AUUUUAGUGUCGUAAUGUUUAGUAUGGAAAUAUUUUAGUGACGUUCGAGUGAGUUUCAAUAGUUGACUAAAGAUGUCAUUGGCUCUUCGACUAUCACAGCAUCUCUAGUCUCUACCGAGCGCGUGCGUAACGCGUCCGUCAUGGGUCCAGCUUCAGUCUUCGGAUAUUAUUCGUUACUAGUUUACUACUAACCAAUAGAAGGUAAUAGUAAUGCCAAGGGAUUUGUUUUUGUUUUUGUAAAAUAGGUCAAUACAGCCAAAUAAAGAAUUUACUAUAUACUUUGAAUUUUCCGAAACCAAUUUCUUAAUGUAAUAAACACUUAGAGCAUCAUUAUCCAAGACUCUUAAUAGAGUCUCUUAGUUUAAUUAGGAAUAAAAAAAAUAGCAACUAACACAAGAGACGACUCUUAAUUAGGGUACAGAAGAGACGGUUCUUGUAACUCUCUCUUCUCCUUCGCUGUAGCUUCUUCAACCACUCUCAUCUCCUUUGCUUUCCAUCUCCCUCCCUCUCUCACGAAGAUUGAUCCUAGUUUCGGAGGGGAUAGAUGGAAUUCGUUGUCGGAGAGUGUUUCGGGUCGUCUUCUGCUCCGAUGGAGCUGAUUUGGGUUGGGAUUGAUCGGGUUUUGUUGUUGGAGAAGGUCGCUUAAGAGCAGCCAUGGAGGAUCAAAUUGCCAGUUCCAAGUCCAUUCAGACAAGCGAGGAUGUAGAACCGCAGAGGAUAACCGUAUCGUUAGGUUGAGAACAAAGAUGCAACUUGAGCAGAAUAGAGAAGAGAUGGAUGCACAAGAUAGAUUUUUCUCAGAGUCAAUCAAGCAGAUACAUGACAAUAGAGAUGCAAAGGAGGAGGAUUUCGAGAUGUUGCAGCAGCAGGAGCAUGCCAAAGUUGUCGAGCAGCAGCAGAAGAAGAACACUAAUCUCUCUAAGCUGAGGAGGUUUCAGGUUUCAUAGAGUUACAAGAGAAAGAUAUGGAGGAGUUUGAUAGCUGCCCUGGAGCAUAAUUAUAAUCCGAGAACAUGCUCAAUCAAAUUCCCAUAAAGAGCCAAAAGGUUGUGUAACAUCUCUUAUUGAACAAGGAUGCGCAAGUCGAUCUGUUGUACAUGUCAGAUACAAGACUCCAAUGAAGAUGAACACUUGAAGUCUUCUCAGCAGCAAUCCGAUGGUAUUUUGUUGUUAUAUACAAUGCCACCAAUCAAAUGAGUUGACAUUUGGUCGAAUGCUUUGCACAUUUUUGUAAGUACAUUUGGUCGAAUGCUUUGAAUUUUUUUUUUAAGAAUCCCUAAAUAAGAGACUUCUAUUGGAGCACAAAAA